UGGGGGAUAUUGCACAAUGGAGGAAACUCUGAUGCAGCAACGCCGCGUGAAGGAAGAAGGCCUUCGGGUUGUAAACUUUUGUCCUUGGUGACGAAAAAAAUGACGGUAGCCAAGGAGGAAGCCACGGCUAACUACGUGCCAGCAGCCGCGGUAAUACGUAGGUGGCAAGCGUUGUCCGGAAUUACUGGGUGUAAAGGGUGCGUAGGCGGUUUUUAAAGUCAGAUGUGAAAUGCCGCAGCUUAACUGCGGAGCUGCAUUUGAAACUUAAAGACUUGAGUGAAGUAGAGGUAAGCGGAAUUCCUAGUGUAGCGGUGAAAUGCGUAGAUAUUAGGAGGAACACCAGUGGCGAAGGCGGCUUACUGGGCUUUAACUGACGCUGAAGCACGAAAGCAUGGGUAGCAAACAGG
Molecule: ribosomal RNA, 407 nt
Filed under: uncultured bacterium
Lineage: Bacteria
Description: bacterial SSU rRNA
Rfam family: Bacterial small subunit ribosomal RNA
Source: RNAcentral